GAUGAAGAAUGUAGCGAAAUGCGAUAAGUAAUGUGAAUUGCAGAAUUCAGUGAAUCAUCGAAUCUUUGAACGCACAUUGCGCCCGCCAGUAUUCUGGCGGGCAUGCCUGUUCGAGCGUCAUUUCAACCCUCAAGCCCAGCUUGGUGUUGGGGAUCGGCACAGGCGCCCUCGGGCGCCCGCCGUCCCCUAAAUCUAGUGGCGGUCCCGCUGCAGCCUCCUCUGCGUAGUAGUUUUCUCCUCGCAAGGGCAGCUCGGUGGCGACCUCGCCGUAAAACCCCCAACUUCUGAAAGGUUGACCUCGAAUCAGGUAGGAAUACCCGCUGAACUUAAGCAUAUCAAUAAGCGGAGGA
Molecule: unclassified non-coding RNA, 350 nt
Filed under: soil metagenome
Description: partial contains 5.8S ribosomal RNA, internal transcribed spacer 2, and large subunit ribosomal RNA
Rfam family: 5.8S ribosomal RNA (bases 1-120)
Source: RNAcentral